Molecule: transfer RNA, 73 nt
Filed under: Gonium pectorale
Lineage: Eukaryota; Viridiplantae; Chlorophyta; Chlorophyceae; Chlamydomonadales; Volvocaceae
Description: tRNA-Met
Rfam family: tRNA
About the family: Transfer RNA (tRNA) molecules are approximately 80 nucleotides in length. Their secondary structure includes four short double-helical elements and three loops (D, anti-codon, and T loops). Further hydrogen bonds mediate the characteristic L-shaped molecular structure. tRNAs have two regions of fundamental functional importance: the anti-codon, which is responsible for specific mRNA codon recognition, and the 3' end, to which the tRNAs corresponding amino acid is attached (by aminoacyl-tRNA synthetases). tRNAs cope with the degeneracy of the genetic code in two manners: having more than one tRNA (with a specific anti-codon) for a particular amino acid; and 'wobble' base-pairing, i.e. permitting non-standard base-pairing at the 3rd anti-codon position.
Source: RNAcentral
AGACGGAUAGCUUAGCGGUUAAAGCACGGGCCUCAUGAGCUCGGGAUCGUAAGUUCGAAUCUUACUCCCUCUA